UUUCAGCCACCUAAAAACAAGUAUAUAAACUACAAGGACUAUCAGGAAAACAAGAAGAAACAGAAGAUGGAGGAGAAGGAGAAACGAGAAAUGGACAGAAAACUGGGUUAUAAGAUACCUAAAGCAAACAGAGGAAAGAAAAGACCACGUGACCGGAAUGAUAUUGGACAUCUGGAUGGUCAAGUUGGAAUGUGGAAAUCUGGCGUUCAAGUUGUAAAGAAGGACGAUCUAAAAGGAUUCAAGAAAUCUAAACUAAAAUAAUUCAUAAAAUCUGAUAUUUAGGAUCAACAUUUAGUGAAAUAAAAUUUAUUAAAUCAG
This is a long non-coding RNA of Ruditapes philippinarum (Manila clam), 318 nucleotides long. RefSeq lists it as uncharacterized. Lineage: Eukaryota; Metazoa; Mollusca; Bivalvia; Venerida; Veneridae. The record is from RefSeq and is a predicted model, not a curated record. The transcript has 3 exons.